Molecule: small nuclear RNA, 185 nt
Filed under: Neogale vison (American mink)
Lineage: Eukaryota; Metazoa; Chordata; Mammalia; Carnivora; Mustelidae
Description: Neovison vison (American mink) U4 spliceosomal RNA (ENSNVIG00000022554.1)
Rfam family: U4 spliceosomal RNA (bases 1-77)
Source: RNAcentral
AGCUUUGCGCAGUGGCAGUAUCACAGCCAAUGACGUUUAUCCGAGGCACGGUUAUUGCUAAUUGAAAAAAAUAAAAGGAGGAAGAAUAGUCCAACCAGUUAAUCCCAAGCCUGCUGUCCCAUCUGCGCACCCCACUCUAGUCAAGAUGUACAGGGUGACAGCAUGGAAAUAAAAAAUUUAAAAAC